AAAAUUAUAUGCUUUGUCCAUUUGUCAGAGAAAAAUAAUUAAUGGUAAAUACUAGGCCUUCUUUUUCAAUUCUGUAUGAAAUUUCUCUUGAUAACACUUGAUAGAAUUCUACUCACAACAACACUCAGCCAAAUACACUUCUUUCUAUAGUGCCAAGUGUUCAAAAACACACAGCAUUCAAAUAAUGUAGUUUCCAUGUAAUUAGGAUAUCAUUUUCAGUUUGAUAAUCUCGCAUAGAAAAGUCUUCAGUGGAAGAAAAGAGAAAUACCUAAAAAGAAACAGUUGACUUAAAUGAUGAUGAUUACUACUGAAUGAACCGGUUCCCUAAAACAUAGUGGAAUAGGCUGUCAAUGCCUGAAUGUGACUGAGAUGUGCACAUCUGGGAACAGAAGGAAAACUCUGCUGGCAACACAACAGUGAUCCGACCAGGCAGGAUAAUCAAUCCUUUCAUUACAUAUCCCACCUCCUGACCCCUGUUUAUCAUCCACGUUCCCCAACAGGCUUCUGUGCCAUCCACUUACUCCUUCUUUAAAAUUUUUCAUUUAGAAAUUACUCAUACAAGGAAGUAUUUUAAAAUAUGUGCAGUUUGAAGAAUAAAAGAAACACCAGAGAAACCACCACCUCGCCUCAGAAAGAGCAGAAGCUCCUUGGAUAGGCCCCCUCCUGCUGGCUCCCGCCACCACCGCCAGUGUCCUUAAUCCUGUGGUAACCAUCUCCCCGUUUUUGUCUUCAUACCGUUGGGUCCUGUGUAUGUGCAUUCCUUAAAAACACGUUGCUCUGUGCUGCCGGUUUUUGAGCUUUACAGAAAUGGAGUCAUUCUCCAAGUAUUCUUUGAACCACAGAUAUAUAGAUCUGUCAGUGAACUCGUAUUCAGCACAUAUGAAGAACUCUAUAACACUUCAGUAAGAAUGCUGAAAUAAACCAACUCACUAAGAAAUGGGCAAAGGAACUGAACAGACACUUUGUGAAAGAAGAUAUCAUUGGUCAAUAGGCACAUUAAAAGGUGCUUACAUCAGGAAAAUGCAAACUUAAACUUUGUGAGAUGCCACUAACAAACCCACUGGAAUGACACAAAUUUUAUAAGAUGGACAAUACCAGGUGUAGAAAACUUGGAAUUCUCAUAUACUGCUGGUGGAAAUGUAAACUCUUCACUUUGGAUAACAGUUGUGCUGUUUCUAAUAAAGUUAAACAUACAUUUA
Long non-coding RNA from Lemur catta (Ring-tailed lemur), 1199 nucleotides. RefSeq lists it as uncharacterized. The record is from RefSeq and is a predicted model, not a curated record. Lineage: Eukaryota; Metazoa; Chordata; Mammalia; Primates; Lemuridae. The transcript has 2 exons.